GUGAGGAGGGCAAGUAUUUCCCAGGAGCUGCAGAUCUGACAGGCCAGGAGGGAAGAGGCUGCAGGAACAAGUCUCAUCAGGCUGCAGGGGGCCCUUCCCAGACGCUGCUGGCAUCCUGGACCCGAUGCUGCCUCCUUGCUCACAUAGUGCAUCAGAGACUCAGCCGAGUCCACUGGACGUGUGGAGACCUGUCCCCGAGAGCACUAAAUUCCUUGCAGCUUCCAGCAAGUUAAGGACAGAGCCCAGAGACUGAAAUGAAAACACCAACAGGAGGAGGCCUGCUCUUAACCACCAAGUUUGGGGCAUAGUAGGCAUUCGGCAGAUAUUUGCUAAAAACAAACAUUGAGGGGUCCUAUGAAUUCCGAGCAGUUUUCUGCCCCUGCUGCACAGCGUGGGGAACGCAUGGCCACGGCAGCCAGCGGGUCGUUUUCUGAAUUGAUGAGCCUGAUGCCUAUAAUUUUCCCAAAGCAAAAUAUUUGUGGGUAUGGCUACGUGCCAUGGAAUUUCUAGACUUCGUGCCUUCCUUUUCUAUCCAUGGAAACUUUGCUUUUCUUUCCUAUACGUGGUCACUUCAUUUACCCUCCUCGGUUUCUCUAAGGGGAGCCCUGGGGCAU
This is a long non-coding RNA of Balaenoptera ricei (Rice's whale), 614 nucleotides long. RefSeq lists it as uncharacterized. Lineage: Eukaryota; Metazoa; Chordata; Mammalia; Artiodactyla; Balaenopteridae. The record is from RefSeq and is a predicted model, not a curated record. The transcript has 3 exons.